AUUGAACGCUGGCGGCAUGCUUUACACAUGCAAGUCGAACGGCAGCACAGUAUUUGGCUUCUCUUCGGGUUGGCAACUGGUGGGUAAUUGAUCGGUACAUCGCAAUUUGUGUUUGCGUGGUCGGCGACGUAGGGAUUCAUACCCCAUUACACCUUACGACGUAAGCGUGGAAUCUUCGGAUCUCCCGCUCUUGCGCGAUCCAAUGACCGGAUGUCUGAUUAGCUAGUUGGUGGGGUAAAGGCCCACCAAGGCGACGAUCUGUAGCUGGUCUGAGAGGAUGAUCAGCCACACUGGAACUGAGACACGGCCCAGACUCCUACGGGAGGCAGCAGUGGGGAAUUUUGGACAAUGGGCGAAAGCCUGAUCCAGCAAUGCCGCGUGUGUGAUGAAGGCCUUCGGGUUGUAAAGCACUUUUGUUGGGAAAGAAAAGCAGUGUGUCAAUACCACGGUGUGAUGACGGUACCCGAAGAAUAAGCACCGGCUAACUACGUG
This 492-nucleotide ribosomal RNA is filed under the name uncultured bacterium. Its description in RNAcentral is "partial 16S ribosomal RNA". It matches the Rfam family "Bacterial small subunit ribosomal RNA", at positions 30 to 507 of the family's 1533-position model. The record is from RNAcentral.